Molecule: long non-coding RNA, 8554 nt
Filed under: Triticum aestivum (bread wheat)
Lineage: Eukaryota; Viridiplantae; Streptophyta; Magnoliopsida; Poales; Poaceae
Description: long non-coding RNA (TAES_LNC022507)
Rfam family: MIR1120/MIR1122 microRNA precursor family (bases 4333-4457)
Source: RNAcentral
GAUGGUCCUGUGCCUUGAUACAGUAAGCAAGAGCUUUGGCCGGGCUUGUGUUGGAUGGCAGAGAGUUUUGACUCUGGAGUUCGUUUUGUUUCUUGGCUUGGCAGUUGGCAUGACUACUUGUAGACAGGGGGUAUUGGUGAUUUGAACAUCUUUUACUCUCUGUUGUUUCGGUCUGUGAUUAUCCUGAAGUAGUCAAGGCUAGGUGUUCACAAGGUCGUACGUAUUACUUCACAUGUACUUUGGUUACACAUGUUGGCAUGCGUCAUUAGUCAUUCUUUCCCCUGUUUCAAGGAUAACAGUGUUGUUAUAAUAGUUAGAUAGCAUUUUAAAAAGUUGGUCAAGUAUGUUUAAGGAUGUUAAGAGUUUUGCCGGCUUGUAAUUUUUCUCCUCUUGAGUAAGUGAUGUAAUCUUUUCACAUUUGUUGAACUGUACCUCCAAUGCUGUUGAUACUUGCCAGAGUGGCAACAGAUAGCAUCAUUGCAAAUGGAGUUGGUUGUUCUAUGUUGGGACUUGGAAUCUUGUCGACUUUGUGCCCAACAUUUGUCUUGCUGUUUUGUAAUGAAAUGUCCAAAUCUGGAAAAUGACCGUGUGUCAUUGCGUGCAAGACACUUACACUCGCGAAUGCUGUCAUUUUGUGAGCAUAUUUUCUUUGUCAAUAUGGUGGCAGUUUUGUCUAAAUAGAUGUGAUUAGUAAUAAUUGUGCCUUGCGGUCUUGUGCGAAACUAACUGGCAUUGUUGCCAAGAUGCAUGAAUGAAUGUGUAUGUAGUCUUGGAUGGAGCAGGAGGGGUAAGUGAUGACAUGACAUGCAGCUUGCACUGGUGCCGAAGUGCUUAUCCUGACCUAUGACUUUGAUGUCAAGUGCGGGUUGCAGAGUCACAAGUUGCAUGCUAAGUACUCGACGAAAGCAAGCUCACAGCUGAAAUCUUCAACUGCCACACUGUUGUGAUGAUGGCGGAGCUUUUGUCUCUGUCUCUCUCUCUAAAAAAUAGAAGAGCUUUUGUCUCCAUUUAUGUACAUACUCCUAACCACUCUUAUAUUAUGGAACGGAGGGAGUACUUUGUAAGUUUGUAUACGAUGAUCCCUAGGCUAGGCUGGUCCCAUGCACUCUGGUCUCUGGGGCUGCAGUGAAAUGCAUAAAUCAAGCAUCAUCAAAUUAGCGUAUGUGCAUGGUUAACUUUGUUUGCUUGAGACUUUGAGAGCAAUGGCAACAUCAAGCCAUGGACCGCCAUGAUGAAGGCGCACGUGAUGCAUCAUUUUCUGGACAAGCAUAUCAUUUUCAGAGAUGAAUGGCAUACACAAAGCACCUGUAGAUUUGAAGUGACUCUUGUAGGAGGUUAAUUGUUCCCAUCAUCUCAUGCAGCACGUGAGGGCUUCUCUUUCCCUCUCCCUUUCCCUUCUCAUCAGGCAGGCAGGCAGGCAGAUCUUGCUUUUUCUGCCCAGCAACUUUCCUUCUUUUCUGUCUCCAACACCACUCACCCAAGUGCGUCUACUGUAAAUGGACGGAUGGUUUGUUUCCUGCUUAACACACCGUUUGAGUGGUAACAAAUUUCUGACGGAGGGAGUAUAUUAUUUUGUCAGUUGACCCAGCAUGCCGUUGUGUAGGGUGCAUGGUUUUGCUACAUGCAAAAGUGAAGCCAUCCAAGUCUGAAGAAGUAUCUACAAAACAAUAAGUAGCUCCUCCGUUCCAAAAUAAAUGUCUUAACUUUGUACUAAAUGUAGUACAAAGUUGUACUAAGGUUGAGACACUUAUUUUAGGACGGAGGGAGUAGUAUUAGUAAUUUCAACAAUCAAGGAGUAUAAAUUGCGGCCGCUGAUUCUUGAUUCCGCCGAUGAUUAAACAAACAAAUCUCCUGUUCUGUUCUAACGGUAUUGCCGCAAUCUCGAUGCAUCCAUCUUAAUUAGCAGCUCGCUCAAAUGUUACUAAUUUAUCUAGCCAAAUGCGUUGGCUUCCGUUCCAUGUGCGCUCAAGAUUGCACUCUUGAUGGGUCCAAUAUUAAACACCUUAGAUAAUUAGAGACCAUGCUGUUUUUGACUGGUCUCACAACCCAAGAUUUGCUUGCGUGCUUGUUGGUUAGUUUGCUCAUGGAAUCUCUCAAUCAAAGGAUGAGGAGACCUGACCUACCAUGCGGGUGCGGAUGCGGUGCACAACACACUGCUGAUCUGGUCUUCAUAGGGCUCACAUGGGUCAUGUGGCUGUGGGUGGGGAAGCUUCUGAUUGCUGAGAAAGAAAGAAAAAAAAAACUAAGGAGCAUCGUGCCAGCCUUGCUUGUGCAGACAAGUCUUGUUUCUUCCAAGUUCCAACAUGCUUGCUUAUUACUGUACUUUGGGGAUGGGGCUUAUUGGUGGGGGUAGACAUGGCUCUUGUCCUGGAUAACUUUGCUGGUACUAGUUGCCAUUGCUAUUGCUGCNNNNNNNNNNNNNNNNNNNNNNNNNNNNNNNNNNNNNNNNNNNNNNNNNNNNNNNNNNNNNNNNNNNNNNNNNNNNNNNNNNNNNNNNNNNNNNNNNNNNNNNNNNNNNNNNNNNNNNNNNNNNNNNNNNNNNNNNNNNNNNNNNNNNNNNNNNNNNNNNNNNNNNNNNNNNNNNNNNNNNNNNNNNNNNNNNNNNNNNNNNNNNNNNNNNNNNNNNNNNNNNNNNNNNNNNNNNNNNNNNNNNNNNNNNNNNNNNNNNNNNNNNNNNNNNNNNNNNNNNNNNNNNNNNNNNNNNNNNNNNNNNNNNNNNNNNNNNNNNNNNNNNNNNNNUGUGGUGCAGUUGCAAUUCUCCCUGCCUUUUUGCUUCUUCUCUUAUUAUCAGGCCAUGUCCAAAUCUAACUCAUAAUCAUAUAUCUCUACAUUCUGCAAAAAUAAAUAAAUAAAUAAAAUCUCACCCCUCUGAUAGUGAUUACUCACCAUUACCCUUGUACUUAUAAUAAUUAUCACGCUGUGGUGAAUAAGCCAAUGAUCAUGGCAGGGUCAAUGAUCGUGAGGUCCCAGCCCAACAUUUGAAUGGAGCAGAAUUGACAGGCGUGCAGUGUGCAUCUGACCUUGCAAAUGUUGCAGUGAGUUGAAGAAUAAUGGUACUGUAUCUACCAGCUAGAAGUAAGGCUCUUUUCAGCUUUAUAAGAGCAUCUAUAUAUUCAUAUAGACAAUGGUCUAAAAAGAUUCCCUCAUAUACAUAUCCAGUUUUGCGUCAGAACGUCUAUAUACAGGGACCAUGACAGGUGGGCCGUUGCUGGGGAGAGAAAAAAAUCAUGACUACAGCUGAGUUUAGACAACGUAUUCACAUUGUCCAGGCGUGGACAUUGUCGAGGUCGAUUUAGAGGAUGUGUAUAUUUGGACAACCAUAUAGACAAGCUGUUGGACGCCUGUUUUGGGCUCACGUCAUGGAAAACAAGUAUAGACAUCCAUAUAGACAAGCUAUUGGAGAUGCUCUAACAAGGAAUCAAUCAAAUGAAUGCCACAUCAUGAUUCCUGCCCCAGAAAGCAAUACAAAGUUAAAGAUGAGGACAAGCAUCAGAUCUUGCCUACUGCUAGCAUGAUUUCUUACCCACUAUCUUUUUUUACUCCGUGCAGCUAAGCAAGCAGUACCCCUUCCAUAAUCAAAUUUGCCUUACUGUACCAGCUGUUACAGGUUUCUAAACAAUUGCAGGUUGGUGAAUGGUGAGUGUGUCUGUCCAGGGCGGUCAUGUGUUUGGUGCUACCACAUACUUAAAGGUGUGUUCUUCUGUUCACCUGCAAAACAUUACUUUAAUUAUAUACUGUUAAUGAAUACAGCACAAUAGUAAUUCUGAUUGCAAAACACAUUACGGCUUUGUAUCAGUUAGGAGCUGUGAAGGGGUCCUCCAUGGAAUUGAUGAAUAUGGAUGAGGUAUCUCUCUCAACCCUAGAUGCUCAUCAGUGAUUUUAAAUGAUUAGAAUAUUAUCAUCUUAGACUGAAUCAUGCUAGCAUCAAUGAGCUAUUAUUAUUAUUGCCCAGAACAGUUCAGGAAAAGUUAGUCUGCCUCUUUCGGAUAAUCUGGUACACUGUCAAAAUAACCCCUCACCUAACAGCAGAAUUAAACUGUGGUCCGGAAGUUUUGAUUGCUAUCAAAACCUAAUAAAUAUCCUAACUGUAAACGGCGCCAAAAAGAGCAGUUAGUUACAAGACACAAAUACAGGUAGGUAACUGACAAGACACCUCUGUACCCAGAUCCUAGUACCACUCCAUACUGCAUGUAUACUCCACGGGGAAUAUCCGGUGCACCGAACUCCAGUAGCACAUUUUAAAAUAUUCAAAAACUUCUGAAAACAAAUUAGCACACUGAAACCGAUAUUCCAAACAUAGUUUAGAAAACAAAAAUGACAAAUUCAACACUGAAAGUACUCCCUCUAGCAGGAAUUACUUGUCGCAGAAAUGAAUGUAUAUAGACGUAUUUUAGUUCUAGUCACAUCCAUUUUUAUCCAUUUUUACGACAUGUAAUUCGGGACGGAGGGAGUACUACAUAGCAUAGGCUGGGCUUUAUUUUGACCCAUUAUUACAUUGAUGUCAUAUUUGUCAUUUUUUAUCUCGAGCAAUGUUUCGAGUUUUGAUAUGAAAUUUGGUGACAACAUAUAUUAAUGUUCUGUCAACCUGCUAGACUUUUUUUGUUUAGAUUUGUUGAAACAUUUUAAAAUGUGUUACAACAUCCAAUGCAUCCAUAGCACCACAAGGUGGGUGCACUGGAUAAAUUCCUACAUGUGUAAGAGCAACUCUAGCAGAGUCACUAUAGGUGCGAUCCUCAUAUGGGAUAUGGAGCGUGCUACAUAUGCAUUUGGAGGUUGCGGCAGCUGUGCGCAAACACCGUCACCAUAAUGCGGCCUCCAUAUCUUUUUGUUGUUGCAUCAACUCAAUACUCACAGACCCAUUUGAGGGACUAAAACACUAAAUUUAAGAUUACAUUACAUUACGAAGCUGUUACAAAGUUGAUGUCAAACAUGGAGGAUUUUUUAUGUCUUGGGAGAAUCAUAGUUGCUCCCCACCAUGUGCAUAUGUCAUGAGUCCACUCGUCGUCUAGGCACAACCGUGUGACAGUCUAGUAACCUCUUCUUUGUUCCAUUUCUUCCUGUCGUCGUCGAGGUCGGGGAUGACAGUUUCAAGCGGUGUAAGACCCAACAUGGCGUGAUUUAUCUUGGUGAAUGUCACCUUCCCCAUGUCAAAUGUGCCAUUUGGAACCACACUUCGGCCCCUCUUGGCCUUUAAUGCCUGCCCUGCGGUGGUGUGCUUGAAGAUUUCACUGAGGCGGAUGGCCUAGGCGUAGGUGGUGUUGCGCUCAUCCUAUGCCUCCUUAACAAUGAGGUGACAGUGAGCAUGUGAUGGCCGAUUGAGCUGCUUGGGCGAGCCCUCUCCUCCUUCUCAUAUGGGAUCUGCACGUAGUCGUGCUGGAUAUUCUACUAAAUGGAGUGUAUUUAGCGAUUCCAAUCCGGACACUCAUCGCAGGCAGGAUCCGCAUUGCGCCCUCCAGCGCAUAAUGAUGAUCCUCCUCCUCCGCUUGCUCCUCCAUCAUUUGCUCCUCCGUGAAGAGCGGCACCGAGUCCCACCGCAGGGGAAGCGACAUGGUGGGAGUGAAGUGGGGUUGAGGGUGGAGGUGAGGAAAAUGGAGGUUGUGGGUGGCGGGAAAAUGUGGUUGGUGAGUGGAGGUGAGGUAUUUGGACACGGCGACGACCAUUUUACAACUAUGGGUGGCGGGCGGCACAAAAACGUGGCGGACGGCGGGAAAAUGUGACAGUAAACGUGACGCCAACGACCACGAGCAGUUGCCACAUGGCAGCCGCCAUAAAUUGGCACGACUCCCAAUGCCAUGGGCAUCUGUUCCAUUGGCAGAGAGAGGAUGGGAUGCGCGGGAGGUUGAGAAGGGAGGUGAAACUAGCCUCCUGUGCGAGCUGGUGGUAGAUGGCGCCCUCUCCAAACCAACGCCCCGUAACUUCCAAAUAUGAAGGUUCGCAGAUUCAAUAUAGAGCGCCCACCAUAAAUUAUGACGAUCCGGGACCGGAUGCCAACUCUGCUAGAGUGGCCUUUUCGACCAAAAACACCGUGUCCGCUAGACAUGCUUUGUUCAUGAACAUAAGACGUUUUAAAGAUUUAUGUAGAAGUGUCUAAAACAUAAACAAGAACAUAGGAAGUAUUUGUUAUAUUUUUCUACAGAUAAAUACUACUCCCUCCGAUAGAGGAUGGAUCGGAGGGAGUAGUAGUCCAGAUUUCCAUGCUUAUCAGUUCUUUGUGCUAGGUGAAUCCUUUGACGCAAAUGUGGACCAAAUGCUGCUGCUAGUCAUCCACAGUUGAAACAGUUCGCAAAACCAAAAAUGCCAAUAACUAGUAAUAGUAUGUGGGGAGGGUACUUUGAUCAUUUGAUUCGGCCUGUCAUCCGUCCCUUAAUUUAUUCAGCUUGCUGCAACUUGCUCAACAGUCUGAGUCUGAGUCUGAGUCUGAACCAAAUGAAAAGAAGCGGUCUGAAUCUCUUUGAAGGAAAAAAAGAAAGAAAGGAUAAUAAAAGGAGAAGGAAAAAAGAGGGAUGCAGAUUAAAAGGAGAAGAAAUGGUGUGUGACAGACAUAGAGAUGUAUCACUUGCCUGCAGCCUGCAGCCUGCAGCCUGCAGCCUAGCAGAGUGUGCAAUGCAUGCUUCAACGCCAAGAAUUGCUGCUGGUUUUCUCAUGACGCACGGAUCCACACCAUGAAUGCGGUGUUGUUAGUUGGCCCUGCCCUGCCCUGCCCUGGCACUCACAUUGAAUGCGUCCUUGACCCGAAGACGCACCAGGGCAGAUGGAUCAUUUCCACUAAUUUUUCGACAAAGCACAUCUAAUGGUUACAAGAAGACGCUGUCAGAUUUAGCAUCGUCUUCUUCUUCCUCACCCAACCCAACUGACGAGUAGUCCUACUCGGUUAGGAAGCAGACACGUUUUUACCCAACCCAACGACAAACUCUUCACUUCCUCCAUGGCCAUGGGCACUUGCAAAAUGACAAACUGAUGUUGACUCCCUCUCACACACACAUACACAUACACAUACACAUACACAUACACAUACACAUAAAGAGAGAGAGAGAGGAGAUGGACAAGUGGACAAGCAUCUCUCUAUCUCUCAUGGUGAUGGUGGGUAGGACCUUGGAGCGGCACAUGGGAUGCUGAGAAAGAGAACAAGGAACCCCCCGCCCCGUGCCCACCCACAUCUCCUCCAGCUAGAGGCCACAUCUCCUAAUAGUUAGUUAGGUAGUUUAAUUUAGUUUAGUUUAUGCACUGCCUGGAACGGAAUGCCAGGUCCCAAUACACUAGUAACCAAGUAUACAUGUACGUCAGUCCUCCUUAACUGCAUUUAACAGGACAGUGGUACUCACAUUACAUUCUGGUAAAACGACCGGGUUAACAAUGGCCUUCUUCUCUUCUCUCCAGCCCCUCCUCCUCCUCCCCAUUCUCAUCCUCGCAACUCUUCUUCCUUCCUUGUACAACUACUAGCGCUCCGCGUAGCGACUCCCACUCACAGUCCCAUUCCCAGCCAUAGAGAUAGAGGAGCGGAGCAGCAACAACAAGGCGACCACCCUCCAUCAGCUACCUCGAGUCCCAGAGCUGUGAGGGCGGCCAUGCCCCUCACGCUCACAACAUCUCCUUCUGCCCCUCUGGGCUGCCUCCCCUCCUUACAAGAAAAGAUCAUGAUUGAGCUACCACACUGCUGAGCUGGUAGCAAGGACCGCCGGUCGGUUUGCUUUGCUACCCCUCUUCCUCCCUGCAUUUUGGGGAUUUGGAAGAGGGGAGGAGGCGAUGCCGGCCAAGUACCUGCAGGCGCUGGGAGAGGACAGGCGGCCGGACCUGCACCGCCAGAUCGGCUGCGUCACCGGGAUCCUGCAGGCCUUCGACCGCCGCUACCCCAUCGCCGCCCACCACUCCCACAAGAGGCUUCUCCCCCCAGGUUAGGUUGCCAUCCUCUCCUUCCUUCCUUCCUUCCUUCUUUUCUUCUCGCCGCACCUGCUUCUGCUUCUGCUUGCUUGCUCCAAACAUGCAUGGAUUCAUUCUGCCUCACCAAUUCCUUGAAGCAAUUACGUUAAUGUUCGUAUGCCACCGUGAUAAGAAUAUGAUAUGAUAGAUCACGGCUCUGCUUUUGGAAGAUAGAUAGAUCAGGGCUCUGCUUUAGUAUGGUCUCACCACAUGCUCCAGUUUUUUCGGCCUUCUUUCUUUCCACAUUGAAUCGCUAGGUGCUGCUGGCGAUUGUUGAGAUCUACUGUAGCCUUUUUCCCCUUUUUUGGGCGAGCCACCCAGAUGCAGGAAUUUAAUUACUACUACGUACUUCAAUAUAGGGUGGAGGCAUAGGGACGUUUAUUUCUGAAUGAAACCUUUAGUUCAGAAUUGUAAUAUUUUUUAUCUGCACCGGCGCUGAUUAGCCGGAAAUUGGUCCCGGAUGACCGACAAAAUAUGUCACUAUGUCAUGCAGACAGACAGAUUAGACCCUGCUUCCGAUAAUAAAAUCUAGUAUCCGUAAACAGUUUUGCUAAGUCUCACUUGACUGAGACUUCGUUAUGUCUCACUCGAUGCUAUAGUCCUUUGAUUUUGCAUGGAGAUUCGCACAAAAAAAAAA